Molecule: small nuclear RNA, 151 nt
Filed under: Neotoma lepida (desert woodrat)
Lineage: Eukaryota; Metazoa; Chordata; Mammalia; Rodentia; Cricetidae
Description: U1 spliceosomal RNA
Rfam family: U1 spliceosomal RNA
About the family: U1 is a small nuclear RNA (snRNA) component of the spliceosome (involved in pre-mRNA splicing). Its 5' end forms complementary base pairs with the 5' splice junction, thus defining the 5' donor site of an intron.
Source: Rfam by way of RNAcentral
AAACUUACCUGGCGGGGACGGAUCAUGACCACAAAGGUGCUUUUCCCAGGGCGAAGCUCAUCCAUUGCACUCUGGUUAUGAUUUCCCCCAAAUGCAGAGACUUGACUGCAUAAUUUGUGGUAACAGAGGACUGUCUUCAUGCUCUCCCUUG